This 191-nucleotide ribosomal RNA is filed under the name uncultured bacterium. Its description in RNAcentral is "partial 16S ribosomal RNA". It matches the Rfam family "Bacterial small subunit ribosomal RNA", at positions 338 to 521 of the family's 1533-position model. The record is from RNAcentral.
CCUACGGGAGGCAGCAGUCGAGAAUCUUCCGCAAUGCGCGCAAGCGUGACGGAGCGACGCCGCGUGGGGGAUGAAGGCCUUCGGGUUGUAAACCCCUGUCACCUGGGAAGAAAAGUAGGCAGUUAAUAGCCGUCCUGCUUGACGUUACCAGGGGAGGAAGCACCGGCUAAAUACGUGCCAGCAGCCGCGGU